UAGUUUCAAGUCAUGCAGAUCCAUUUUCUGCCACCGAAUACAUUAGCAUGGGAUAAUGGAAUAGGACCCUGUCCUCCUAUUUUCAGUUGGUUUUGGCAGCGCGAGGACUAGGGUAAUGAUUAAUAGGGAUAGUUGGGGGCAUUAAUAUUUAAUUGUCAGAGGUGAAAUUCUUGGAUUUAUGAAAGAUUAACUUCUGCGAAAGCAUCUGCCAAGGAUGUUUUCAUUAAUCAAGAACGAAAGUUAGGGGAUCGAAGACGAUCAGAUACCGUCGUAGUCUUAACCAUAAACGAUGCCGACCAGCGAUUAGGAGACGUUGAAUACAAAACACCACCAUCGGUUGCGCGGUCAUCCUUGGCGUCUCGGUUUCGGCCGGGGCGCGGGGAUGGCUUAGCCCGGUGGCACCGGUGAAUGACUCCCCUAGCAGCUUGUGAGAGAA
This 436-nucleotide ribosomal RNA is filed under the name Acanthamoeba genotype T4. Its description in RNAcentral is "SSU rRNA". The stretch from base 1 to 368 matches the Rfam family "Eukaryotic small subunit ribosomal RNA", at positions 769 to 1116 of the family's 1831-position model. The record is from RNAcentral. Lineage: Eukaryota; Discosea; Longamoebia; Acanthamoebidae.